RNAcentral lists this ribosomal RNA (417 nucleotides) under uncultured bacterium. RNAcentral describes it as "bacterial SSU rRNA". It matches the Rfam family "Bacterial small subunit ribosomal RNA", at positions 29 to 431 of the family's 1533-position model. The record is from RNAcentral.
AACGAACGCUGGCGGCGUGGAUAAGACAUGCAAGUCGAACGGAUUCAGUCUUGUAGCAAUACAAGGCUGAGUCAGUGGCGCAAGGGUGCGUAACACGUGGGCAACCUGCCCUGGAGACUGGGAUAGCCCGCCGAAAGGCGGAUUAAUACCGGAUGCGGCUACCAAAGGAAUCUUUGGGACGCUAAAGGUGGCGCAAGCUACCGCUCUUGGAUGGGCCCGCGGCCUANCAGCUAGUUGGUGAGGUUACGGCUCACCAAGGCGACGAUCAGUAGCUGGUCUGAGAGGAUGAUCAGCCACACUGGGACUGAGACACGGCCCAGACUCCUACGGGAGGCAGCAGUGGGGAAUAUUGGACAAUGGGCGCAAGCCUGAUCCAGCCAUGCCGCGUGAGUGAUGAAGGCCUUAGGGUUGUAAAGC